RNAcentral lists this long non-coding RNA (862 nucleotides) under Parus major (Great Tit). RNAcentral describes it as "lncRNA (ENSPMJG00000015529.1)". Lineage: Eukaryota; Metazoa; Chordata; Aves; Passeriformes; Paridae. The record is from RNAcentral.
GUAUUUUUAACUGGAAUUUUGCUGCUCGUUUUAGGCAGAAACAAUUCUGCAACAUCAUUUGUUUGCUCCGAUGUUUUUAUUUACACAUUUUAUAGAUUAUUACUAUUAUAUAAAAGUGCCCAGUGCUUUACGAGACACAAAAUACAGAUAAUCUCUGUCAGGAAGACUGCACAAUCUAAACAAAACAGACAACACAGACAGGGCUCCCUGAGAGGCACAGAGGAGUGAAGAUUAGUCUUGUUUCAGUUUUAUAAAUAUACUGCUAACAUUAUUGGACAAGAAAUAGACAUGUUUUCUUCUUCUUCCCUUUCCAUCCUCCCGUUUAUUAAUGCUUCCCUCUUAUUCACACAAUAGAAUUAUGAUGCAACAUGAAAUAAAGCCUGGUUUAGGCUGCUGGCCCCAAUUCAACAACCCUGAAUCCCAUCCUUGCUCCCUGGCGCUCACGUGCUUAAGAUUUCUCUGGAUUGGUGCCUUAGAUCAUGCAGUCUAUUGACAGCUGCCCUUUUGCUUACAAAUGAAACCAACCCUAGAUCAAUAAGAAAAAAACAUUAUUCUCUUCACCUGUUUAAUGCCACGGCUGUGGGUUGCUGUAAGAUUUGUAAACAAGCUGAUGUCUACAGGGAAAGCUGUAAGACAAAGAACACCUUCCCUACCAAAGGGAGCGGGUGUUCUGUGUUUACAUACAAAUCACCUUCUGGGGCUUUUUUCAGGGGGCUCCAGAAAUUUGCUGUGUGGACUGACAAGCAGGGGCUGUUUACUGUCUGGUGUGUUUUUGCCUGAUGCACGGAUCCAGCACUUUAAAGGGGCACUUGCAGUUUUCAUCAAGGAACAUUUUUGGAAAGAAUCUGCAUUUGGGAUCUGA